This 3269-nucleotide unclassified non-coding RNA is filed under the name Leishmania donovani. RNAcentral's name for it is "gene:LdHU3.23.1360(CDS-product:hypothetical_prote in)". Lineage: Eukaryota; Euglenozoa; Kinetoplastea; Trypanosomatida; Trypanosomatidae. The record is from RNAcentral.
UGUAUUCUCAUACAACCGCAUCCGUUUCAUACACUGCGUGCUUCGGCCCUUCCCUCUCCGACACACACUCUCAAACCUGCCGUGGUGAUGGUUGCACAUACUCGUCGCUGCUGCUUACCCACCUCGCCUCCCCUUCAUAUCUCCAUUACUCUCACCCGCACACACACACACACACACACACACACACACACACACACACAAAAGCCAACAAACCUAAAGUCUAAAUUAACCGUUGAUUCACAAUCUGCACCUGGCAACUGAGGUUUGUAACUCCUUCCUUCACUUCGCCCGGUCUUGUUCUUUUUCACGUUUUCGUUUUUUUUUUCAGUUUUCGGCUGCCGUGGUUUCUCACACAAGUCCUCUGAGCCUUCCCUCCUUGUCUCUCCUCCUUCGCACGCCUCGCUCAUUCUCUACUACUACUAUCAUUUUUUUUGUUAUUGUGGUUUUGAUGGGUCUGCUCCUCCACUGGGACUUCACUAUCGCGUUUCCGUCCGUGUGUGUGCUCCGCUCUUCUCACUCUGUCUCUUUUCCCCCGUUCGCUGGUUCCUCGUGGGGGGACCUCCUUGUACGAGGCAGUGCAUCCACAUCAAAACACGCCCACGUAGGCACAGAGACAGGCAGACAGACAGGCACGAUAUCUGCGGCGGCAGACAAGAAGCGUUUUAGACAGAGUCACACUACCAAGCGCGGAAGGCACGCCAAACCUUUGCAUUGCGAAAGAUGUUCACUAACGUUUUACUCAAGCACCUGUACUCGCGUGCGGCGCUCCUGCUGCUGCUGUCGCUGCUUGCCUCUAUCCUCUCUCCAUCAAGUGUUCCAGGCAUCACGCAUGUCUACGCUGCGCCGUCACCGGCGAUGGAGGUGGCCCCGAGCGGCUCAACGUUCUCCUGGCAGAAGAUGCGGAACAUCAUGGUGACUGCUGCGAUCGCAGAGAACGUCAUGACGAAGACAUUGCCGCAGAACUUACCAAGCACUGCCGUUGCGGGUGUUGUGGUGACCACCAGCACUAGCUCGCUGGCGGCGUCCGCCAUGCCCCUCAACGAUAAGCACGUGCUAGUGCCGGGCAUCUCUGUUUCACCGGAGGAGGUGGCUGCAAAGGUGAACGGUGCUUCUUUUCCCCAAACCGAUGCUUCAGUGAGCAGCGUCGGCAGCAAGCCUCCACUGGAGGACGCCAAUGAGCUUCUGCGCAAUUAUGCCCAGCCGAUGACGGCGCUCUAUAACAGCGUGAGCGCUCCCGGCACGGAGGAAAUUUAUUUCAUUGAGAACGUGACGUAUAAAGUUCGGAUUCUGUUCUCCGGGCCGUCGGCAAGGUGGUCUAUCUCUCUCUCCAAGAGCCGCGACAACGUUUCGGUGACGAUCGUGCAAGCGAUCGAGGUGUUCUCUAACUCACGCAGAAUGAUUUGCACGCCUACGGUAGAUUCCAUGAGGGUGAUGGAGAAGGAUCCAGAGCUGAAGCAGAUCGGCGAUGGCCAUGGCGGCCUCAUCGUGGACAUCACGGUGAACUGUGGCGGCACUAACUUCAUGAUCGGCCGCUUCCUCGACUCGUCGGAGUACGCCAGCACGCUGGACUUUCUCAACACAACAAACAUCACAGCUGCCUUUCAGAGUAGCUCUCGCUCGUCAUCGAGAGUUGACGUGUACACGACGAUGGUCCGCGGCGGAGAAAACACGUUCAUCUGUGACCGCGUGUGCAAAGGAAUGAUCGCCAUGGGCUGCCUCAUCGUGGGCCUGUGCGCUGUUUGCGUCGCCAUCACCCUGGUUGCCAUAUGCUGCCCGUGCUACUGCGUGCGUGCCGAUUGGGGGAACUCCACCGACAACUCCACCACAUUUGAUUACCCAGACUGCAGCAACGCUGACGCGGAGAGUAGUAGGCUCGAUAUGCUGCAGGAAGGCAUGCAUGUAUACGGCGACCAGAACGCGUCGCACUACUUCGCCACGGUACCCAAGAGAACGAUGAGCUUCAGCAAGCCGAAUGCCUAGUAGCCGACCUCAAGUAAGAAGAGCUCCUUGGUACAACCCCCUCCGCUCCCCUCUCCAUUCUAUCCUGCAGCUCGUGCGCAUCGCAUAAUACCUCCUUUGUCCCUCGCCCGUCCGUGUCACUUGUAGCGCUCCCAGACACACAGACGCCCAUACAAGCGCGGUUCUCUCGCCCGUCUUCUUUCCCUCUCUUGCCUUCUGGAUUCGGAGUUGGGCGUGCAUUCUGUGCGUCACCGUAGAACCACUCUAACGUGCGGGCUCGCUCACACGUAAAAUCAGGAAGCCGCAACACAGAGAAAGAGGCGAAUGGAGAUGCCGGCUGGCAGGAGAAGUGGGCAAAGAUGAGGGAAGGAGGCGGCGGCGGCAGACUUGCGAUGACGGAUUCGAAGUAGGCAGCUGUGCUGUGCAAUGCCUUUUGCGCAGCACUGCUCUCACGUGUGUGUGUGUGUGUAUGCGUGCACCGGCGUGUGCGCCGUGCUGUGCUUUUCAUGUUUUAUUCUGUCGAGAGCUUUUGACCGUGUCGCUGCUUCGGCGCGGUUGGCUCGCUCUGAGUUUACUUUGUUAGACUCAAAUUUUCUUCAACACACUGACAUACGUGCGCCUGCGCAGACACGUACCCUCUCCUCAGCCCAUCUGUUGCUCUCUGAGAAGCUCACCCCCUCGACCCCUUGUAUUCUUUCCGUCGCCUUUCUCCCGAUCAUUUUCUCUGCCUCUCUCGAUACGAAUGGCAGGGGUUGUAUGUGUGAACAUUCGCUGGAUUUCUCGGCGCGCUUAUAUGCGUGCUGUUCAGCCUUGUUUUUUUUUUCUCGACUCCAUCCUUCUCCGCAUGUUUCACUCCGUGCCGCUCUCUCUCUUUGCGCCUCCUCCUAUAGGCCUGCGUGCUUAGCUUAGUUGCUUCUCCUCGCCCUCUCCCCCCUUCAUCCCCAAGGUGCACCCCCCUUCGCCAUUACGCCCGUUCCGUAGUCUCCCCUAGCCCCCUCCCAUCCGCCGCCUUACCUUCCUCCUUGCGCAGAUUAUCAACACCCUCGUUUUUGACAAGCCACAUCUGUUGACACUUCACACACACACACACACACACACACACACACACACACACACACACACACACACACACACACACACACACACACACACACGAUAUACACCGAAGCGUAUGGAACACUCCGAGACUCAGACAAAACGCCGGGAUCUGCUGCGGGUAUUUUUCCUUUUCCUUGGCUUUCUCCAUCUUUAUAUAUAUAUAUAUAUAUAUCUGUUUAUGUUUAUGGUGCGUAAGGCGCCUCCGUCUUAAG